GUACAUUGCUGUUGAGUUUGCUUCUAUAUGGCGAGGAAUGGGUUCAACGGUGGAUCUAUGUUUCAGAAAGGAACUCCCAUUGAGAGGUUUUGAUGAUGAAAUGCGAGCUGUAGUUGCAAGAAAUCUAGAAGGCAGAGGAAUCACUAUGCAUCCUUGCACGACAUUGACUAAGCUUGAAAAAGCAGAAGGUGGCAUCAAAGUGCACACAGACCAUGGUGAAGUGAUAUUGGCAGAUGUUGUGCUCGUUGCAACUGGUCGUCUCCCUAACACAAAAAGGUUGAAUCUGGAUGCUGUUGGUGUCGAGCUUGACAACAUGAAAGCGGUGAAGGUAGAUGAGUACUCACGCACCAAUAUACCCAGCAUUUGGGCCAUUGGUGAUGUCACCAAUCGAAUGAAUCUCACUCCUGUUGCUUUGAUGGAAGGAACCUGUUUUGCGAAAACUGUUUUCGGUGGAAAGCCUACCAAGCCUGACUACUCACAUAUCCCAUGUGCUGUGUUCUGCAUCCCGCCUCUCUCUGUUGUGGGGUUCAGCGAAGAACAGGCCAUAGAGCAAAUAAAUGGAGAAGUUUCAGUUUACACAUCAUCAUUCAAUCCAAUGAAGAACACCAUAUCUGGACGAACAGAGAAGUCAGUAAUGAAGCUUCUUGUUGAUGCCCAGACAGAUAAAGUUAUAGGGGCAUCCAUGUGCGGUCCAGAUGCACCUGAAAUCAUGCAGGGCAUUGCCGUUGCACUAAAGUGUGGAGCAACCAAGGAGCAGUUUGACAGUACAGUGGGAAUACAUCCUUCUGCCGCAGAAGAGUUUGUGACCAUGCGUUCAGAGUCGAGGCGCAUUUCUUCAAACAAACCAAAGACAAACCUCUGAGGAACCAAAGAUGUGAUAAAACCAUAUUGCCACAUAAAAAAAAGGGUGAUUUCAUGAGGAAAAAAAAAGAACACCUACAUUCAGUAUUUACUUCAUAGUAUUAGCUACAUGGUGCGAUUUUGUUUUUGUGAUUUUGAAUACGUUUGUGAGGACCAACAGAGAAAUAUCUGCAUGUUGAAUAAACAGUAGCGCUUGGGUCUUUUGAUAAUUGUACUAGCAGCAAGUUUCAAGCAGUGAUUUGGUGUUAAUAUAUCCCCAAUCUGAGUUGAGAAAAUAGUCUCUCUACCACCACGAGGUAGGGGUAAGUCUAUGUACACUUCAACCCUCAUCAGAUCCUAGCUGUG
This 1206-nucleotide unclassified non-coding RNA is filed under the name Hevea brasiliensis (rubber tree). Lineage: Eukaryota; Viridiplantae; Streptophyta; Magnoliopsida; Malpighiales; Euphorbiaceae. The record is from RNAcentral.